This 835-nucleotide ribosomal RNA is filed under the name uncultured Pseudoalteromonas sp. RNAcentral's name for it is "bacterial SSU rRNA". It matches the Rfam family "Bacterial small subunit ribosomal RNA", at positions 38 to 869 of the family's 1533-position model. Lineage: Bacteria; Pseudomonadati; Pseudomonadota; Gammaproteobacteria; Alteromonadales; Pseudoalteromonadaceae. The record is from RNAcentral.
GGCGGCAGGCCUAACACAUGCAAGUCGAGCGGUAACAGAAAGUAGCUUGCUACUUUGCUGACGAGCGGCGGACGGGUGAGUAAUGCUUGGGAACAUGCCUUGAGGUGGGGGACAACAGUUGGAAACGACUGCUAAUACCGCAUAAUGUCUACGGACCAAAGGGGGCUUCGGCUCUCGCCUUUAGAUUGGCCCAAGUGGGAUUAGCUAGUUGGUGAGGUAAUGGCUCACCAAGGCGACGAUCCCUAGCUGGUUUGAGAGGAUGAUCAGCCACACUGGGACUGAGACACGGCCCAGACUCCUACGGGAGGCAGCAGUGGGGAAUAUUGCACAAUGGGCGCAAGCCUGAUGCAGCCAUGCCGCGUGUGUGAAGAAGGCCUUCGGGUUGUAAAGCACUUUCAGUCAGGAGGAAAGCGUGGUGGUUAAUACCCAUCAUGUGUGACGUUACUGACAGAAGAAGCACCGGCUAACUCCGUGCCAGCAGCCGCGGUAAUACGGAGGGUGCGAGCGUUAAUCGGAAUUACUGGGCGUAAAGCGUACGCAGGCGGUUUGUUAAGCGAGAUGUGAAAGCCCCGGGCUCAACCUGGGAACUGCAUUUCGAACUGGCAAACUAGAGUGUGAUAGAGGGUGGUAGAAUUUCAGGUGUAGCGGUGAAAUGCGUAGAGAUCUGAAGGAAUACCGAUGGCGAAGGCAGCCACCUGGGUCAACACUGACGCUCAUGUACGAAAGCGUGGGGAGCAAACGGGAUUAGAUACCCCGGUAGUCCACGCCGUAAACGAUGUCUACUAGAAGCUCGGAGCCUCGGUUCUGUUUUUCAAAGCUAACGCAUUAAGUAGAC